AGGUAAAUAUUUUAAUAAAAAUAGUUAGUUUGCGUCUAAAAAUUAUCUUUGGAUUUUACCUA
This 62-nucleotide transfer RNA is filed under the name Uroctonus mordax (western forest scorpion). Its description in RNAcentral is "tRNA-Ala". The record is from RNAcentral. Lineage: Eukaryota; Metazoa; Arthropoda; Arachnida; Scorpiones; Chactidae.